CGGUAGACGAUGGGGAUGCGUUCCAUUAGAUAGUAGGCGGGGUAACGGCCCACCNANUCAACGAUGGAUAGGGGUUCUGAGAGGAAGGUCCCCCACAUUGGAACUGAGACACGGUCCAAACUCCUACGGGAGGCAGCAGUGAGGAAUAUUGGUCAAUGGGCGAUGGCCUGAACCAGCCAAGUAGCGUGAAGGAUGACUGCCCUAUGGGUUGUAAACUUCUUUUAUAAAGGAAUAAAGUCGGGUAUGCAUACCCGUUUGCAUGUACUUUAUGAAUAAGGAUCGGCUAACUCCGUGCCAGCAGCCGCGGUAAUACGGAGGAUCCGAGCGUUAUCCGGAUUUAUUGGGUUUAAAGGGAGCGUAGAUGGAUGUUUAAGUCAGUUGUGAAAGUUUGCGGCUCAACCGUAAAAUUGCAGUUGAUACUGGAUGUCUUGAGUGCAGUUGAGGCAGGCGGAAUUCGUGGUGUAGCGGUGAAAUGCUUAGAUAUCACGAAGAACUCCGAUUGCGAAGGCAGCCUGCUAAGCUGCAACUGACAUUGAGGCUCGAAAGUGUGGGUAUCAAACAGGAUUAGAUACCCUGGUAGUCCACACGGUAAACGAUGAAUACUCGCUGUUUGCGAUAUACGGCAAGCGGCCAAGCGAAAGCGUUAAGUAUUCCACCUGGGGAGUACGCCGGCAACGGUGAAACUCAAAGGAAUUGACGGGGGCCCGCACAAGCGGAGGAACAUGUGGUUUAAUUCGAUGAUACGCGAGGAACCUUACCCGGGCUUAAAUUGCACUCGAAUGAUCCGGAAACGGUUCAGCUAGCAAUAGCGAGUGUGAAGGUGCUGCAUGGUUGUCGUCAGCUCGUGCCGUGAGGUGUCGGCUUAAGUGCCAUAACGAGCGCAACCCUUGUUGUCAGUUACUAACAGGUGAUGCUGAAGACUCUGACGAGACUGCCAUCGUAAGAUGUGAGGAAGGUGGGGAUGACGUCAAAUCANCACGGCCCUUACGUCCGGGGCUACACACGUGUUACNAUGGGGGGUACAGAGGGCCGCUACCACGCGAGUGGAUGCCAAUCCCUAAAACCCCUCUCANUUCAGACUGGAGUCUGCAACCCGACUCCGCGAANCUGGAUUCGCUAGUAAUCGCGCAUCANCCACGGCGCGGUGAAUACNUUCCCGGGCCUUGUACA
RNAcentral lists this ribosomal RNA (1170 nucleotides) under Phocaeicola dorei. RNAcentral describes it as "bacterial SSU rRNA". It matches the Rfam family "Bacterial small subunit ribosomal RNA", at positions 216 to 1387 of the family's 1533-position model. The record is from RNAcentral. Lineage: Bacteria; Pseudomonadati; Bacteroidota; Bacteroidia; Bacteroidales; Bacteroidaceae.